AACGCAAAUUGCACUUUCUGGUAUUCCGGAGAGUAUGCCUGUUUGAGGGUCAGUGUAAUAAAUAAAUCGUGGUUGUUACCACCUUUCGUGGUAACGCUUCGGAAUUGAGUCGUCUUACCUUCGGUUAAGUGACUUAAAAUUUUAUCAUACGAUUUCGAAACGUAUUUAAUGUAUUAUGUACGUUCACGAAUAUCGAAUGUUUAUUAGGUGCGGUCAUUUUUCAUGAAUCGUGUCUAUAAUUUUUUUUUUUUUUGACCUCAAAUCAGGUAAGAAUACCCGCUGAACUUAA
Molecule: unclassified non-coding RNA, 289 nt
Filed under: uncultured Glomerales
Lineage: Eukaryota; Fungi; Glomeromycota; Glomeromycetes; Glomerales; Glomeraceae
Description: sequence contains 5.8S rRNA gene, ITS2, 28S rRNA gene
Source: RNAcentral